AGAGCAUCAGCUGUGACACAGAGCGCGGCGACUACUCGGAACGUAGUGUGAUUUCUCUCUGGGACAAUGCGUCUCAUUCUCGCUUUAGUCGUUCUCGUCGCUGCCACGGUUACAACAACUUCGGCACUUCCACCACCACUCCCGCCACCACUGCCACCACUAAUCCCGCCGUUGUUCGGGGGCUUAAAUGACCUCUUAAAGCCGAUUCCGCACUGCUUUAAGAUUUUCUUUCUACCGAAUCGGUUUUGCUGGUCAUGGGAAAACAAUCUGUCGGAGCUGUGCGGCAGUAACAACGCUUCUGAUACUGGUUCUUCACCGAGUGAUGACAAUUCCGCUGCAUCCGCAUCUCCGACUGAAAACGUCAAAACGACUCAGGAUGGAGGCACCACGGCUUUAGGAUCCGGUGGCCAGAAUCGACUCUCAAGAUUGUAGUAAAGGUCGCCUACACGCGGAGUAAAAUAUGCGGGGUUUAGCCACUGCAUUCUCUGCGUCUCCUAUUCAAAUUAGUCGCGCUACAAAUAAAGAAAGUGCCGCAAC
Molecule: RNA transcript, 537 nt
Organism: Dermacentor albipictus
Lineage: Eukaryota; Metazoa; Arthropoda; Arachnida; Ixodida; Ixodidae
Source: RefSeq, a predicted model, not a curated record